This 158-nucleotide small nuclear RNA is filed under the name Zalophus californianus (California sea lion). RNAcentral's name for it is "U2 spliceosomal RNA (ENSZCAG00015021680.1)". It matches the Rfam family "U2 spliceosomal RNA". Rfam says of the family: U2 is a small nuclear RNA (snRNA) component of the spliceosome (involved in pre-mRNA splicing). Complementary binding between U2 snRNA (in an area lying towards the 5' end but 3' to hairpin I) and the branchpoint sequence (BPS) of the intron results the bulging out of an unpaired adenosine, on the BPS, which initiates a nucleophilic attack at the intronic 5' splice site, thus starting the first of two transesterification reactions that mediate splicing. Lineage: Eukaryota; Metazoa; Chordata; Mammalia; Carnivora; Otariidae. The record is from RNAcentral.
AUCACUUCUUGGCCUUUUGGCUAAGAUCAAGUUUAGCAUCUGUUCUUCUUUUUUCUUUUUUGCUUUUUUUUAAAUUAACAUAUAAUGUAUUAUUUGUUUCAGGGGUACAGGUCUGUGAUUCACCAGUCUUACACAAUACACAGUGCUCCCUACAACAC